UAGUAUUGGAGGAAGCGAAAGUGUACGGAAAACUUUAAUGAAUAGUUUAUCGCGUUACAAUAUGAUAAAAUUAACCAAUACUUUACAUGAGUCUAGUGUCCCAGUGUGUACAAACAUAGUUUACUUUUAAUAUCUGCUUCAUUGCAAUAUAUCAACUCACUGUUUACUGUCCUUCCAGAAAUUCUGUGUCAUGUUCGGAUCAACGGAAAGCACCACGCAACAAUAGUAAAUUGUUCUUUAAAAAUCCAUCAUAGUAGCAUCCGCAAGCUGAAGCAUGCAAUCCCGAACCCAAUCGUCUACCGAACCGCACAAAAAAAAACCUGCUAGAACAAACCGCGAAGAAGCAGCGCUCCAAACUCCCAAACAACCUAAUUUUUCUCGUUUUCGCACGGUCAAUUAAAUGGGACACAACUAUUUCCUGAGCGCAGGCGAGGAUAGCAGUGGAGGAAUGAAGAAGAACCCAUCGGUGUGUUGUGCCCAAACCCGAAAACGACUAAAAGGCGACCAAGGCGAGCCUCCCGUAGCCUUUCCUCCUCGCCGUUCGCCGGGUUCGCGUUUUGUCGAGUCAAUCGGAACAUGGUUCCGUAUGGUGGCGGCAUCGGUCUCAAAAAGGCUGCGACUUUUCCCACACUCUUGCCUCACCAGCUUUGGGAUGAAGUACAAGAAACAGCGAAACACAAACUAAAACGACUGGAUCGACCUGAGAGUAAGAGAGAGAGAGCGGGAGAAGGCGCGCGCGCCCUCCGAACACUUUGAGUCGCGCCGUUCCCGGGUUUCGAUGAUUCUCGAGCGAAAAAAAAAGCGAAAACAUACACACCAAAUCGCAGAUAAAUAGAUAGUGGUGAAGAUAGACGCAGGCGAAACACGGUGCCCGCGCACGGGUACGUAUGGCAAGGGAACGGUGCACGGUGCGAUCCGGGACGAUUCGCAAUAGCCAGCGAUCGAAAGUAGCCGAAUCGCCCCAACCAUCGAGGUUGUGCGGUGCGGUGACACCAGCAAGCGAAAGGAACCAGCAGCGCAAAGUGAGAUACCGCGUCCUGGCUGGCAUCGGUGUCCCAUUGUGUCGCGCGGGAGUGCCCUUGUCUUGUUGACCUUGUCCCGUUGCUGCUGGUCGGACGACCCGCGGGGUUCCUAUUUAACGCGUCGUGGUUGCAAGUUGAAAGAGAUUUGCCGCCGUCGCUGCUGGUGCUGCAUAACGAAGCAGGAAUCAAUUUUUAAUGGGCUGGCGGCGUGCUGGUACGAAAAAAACCAGGGAAGCAAUGCAACGGUGAAACGGUAAGGUAUUAAUUAAAAUAUGUAAAAUUUUAAUUGCUACAAAACAGUGCGGUAAGUGCGCGUGUAAGGUGUGAACUGUCACCAAGCGGUAAGGGAUGCGCUCGAUGGGAGCUAAUUUACAUUUAAACCCAACAUCCAUAGUACAAUGUUCUAAACCGUUUCUGUGGCAGCAUUACACAUUCUUACCGUAGGAAAGGUGUGCAGCGUUCGAAAGUGUAGUAUGUUGAUCGAUGUGUGUGUGUGUAUGACGAGCGGGAGCGCAACAAAACCUUCAUCGGACACGGACCACGUUCUACCGAGAACCGAAAUCUCAAAGGCAGCGGAUGCGCGCGCGCGCCCAUACGCGAUGGCGGAAGGCAUUCGAAAAAUGCUAUCCUGCUGCGUUUUUUCCACUCAUCGUACGCGUCACGAUUAUUGAUAUUUACAAGCGCCUUGUCGGGGGAUCCCGCGAACGCUUACGUACCCAAGCAUGGACCGGGCAAGACUCCAUGCCCGGCCGCCUAUGUGCACGAUAGUGCUGUGCUGGUUUUGGUUUUGGCUCUCGUCGACUACGACACACACACACACACACUCGAACGCACUGGAAACGCGAUGGCCACAAUCAAUCAAUAUCAUCUACUGCCGUCGCCGUCGUUCCGAUUGCCACAAUGAUUAAUCUAAUGUUGUCACGGAGCGCCGUGCCCGCGUAAAGACUUGCGCACUGUAGAUAGAUGCUGGACCGACCAGCAUACCGACGGACGGCGACGACGACGACGAGAUUGUUAAACUCUGGCAAGUUCGUGCUAGUUGAAUUUUUUCCGACAACCAAAAAAAUUGAGAUCUCGUUCGCGCGAGCCCCGUUAUCGUUCUAGGUGCUAGUUGGCUAGUUCGAACAAAAGCGGACACAAGGAGAGCGUUCCUAGCAUACCAGACUUCAUUCUUUCGUAGCGUUGGAUGAAACUCUCAUCCAUACCACAUCCCCUCGUUUGCUCGAGUUUAAAAAGUUGGCACUUCCAAUCCGAUUCGCACUAAAUCGGUUUCGAUUAAUAACCAUAAUCGAUAAUUGGUUCGAGCCUCCAUGCCAUGAAACUAAUGGACGGCGAUUAGCAGAGCGUACGAUAUGCUCGGCACCGGUGCCGAAACCUGUCUGUUCGCUUCGCCAGUUCCUGCCGCCUGCCAAAAGGCGCCCUUACGAACGCGCCCAGAACACACAUUCCAUAAUCCAUUUUCACAAACACCGAACUAACCCCGCGCCUCGACUCUAUGGUGGCGAUCAGUUCAGACAUUCUCGUGGCUUAAAAGCGGGCGGUACGCCGCGUGUCACCGGACAGUGCGUUGUCCGUCCGUGUGGGGAGGAAGGCGGCUACAUCGCUCGGGAGGAUUGAUAUUUGGCAAGAUAAUUCAAAGAUUUCGGGCGGCAUCGCUUAAUCCUGCGCCACGCUGUACGAUGAUAAAUAUGAGAGAAGGCAAGCGCAGAACGUGCGUGCGAAGGUUCUUGUUUUUUUUUUUGGGGGAGGUGGAAGAUGGCAUGGAUGAGGUUUCAAAUAUUCUACAUCCCCACGCCGUGGUGUGACACCGCUUGCCGCUUACGGUUAGCGCCGAAGUAGCCAGAUGUGCCGCUCGGCUGCGGUUCGCGUCGUUCGCAACUUUCUUAAUGAUGUCAAUUAAUGGGUGAAAUAUUGCAGCGAUUUUAAAAACUCGUGUUGAGCGAAUUGUAUUUAACAGCUGGCCUGGAUGGUGCGGUUCCGUGAGCUGUUCGGGCCCCUGGCGAGCAUGGCGUUUUCCCACGCUGAUGUUUCACUUCAGGGCGCAUUAUUUGGAUGUGGUAGGAGAUUAUUCAUAUCAUGCGGUAUGAUUAAAAAAUCAAAGCUAUAUGCCUGUCCCUUUCCAAUUGUCCACCCCUGACCAAUCACCCUCCUAAUAACGCAGAGUCAUUGGCUGCGUACGUAUACCGGUACACCGCAGCCGACUGGACAGAUGCUGUCAUUCUACUCCGUUGCCAUGGUAACUGUCUAGUAUCCCGCGCAAAA
Anopheles gambiae (African malaria mosquito) is the source of this 3284-nucleotide long non-coding RNA. RefSeq lists it as uncharacterized. Lineage: Eukaryota; Metazoa; Arthropoda; Insecta; Diptera; Culicidae. The transcript is spliced from 3 exons. The record is from RefSeq and is a predicted model, not a curated record.